This is an RNA transcript of Marmota monax (woodchuck), 9407 nucleotides long. It is a transcript of the gene named mucin-5AC-like, with no coding region annotated. The record is from RefSeq and is a predicted model, not a curated record. Lineage: Eukaryota; Metazoa; Chordata; Mammalia; Rodentia; Sciuridae. The transcript is spliced from 6 exons.
ACUAGACUGAUGUGGGAAGUGCUAUUACCUACUGCCCAUCCCCACAUCCUGCCUGUCCCCAGAAUGGGGCUGCAGUUGAACCCUUAUGAGAUCACACAGGGAAGACGCUUUCAGACCUCACUAAGAAGAAUGAAUUCUCCACCUUGAAAAUGUGAAGGCAGCACCCAAUAUUCUGUACAGCUGCUGAAACUAAUUCUGACCUCCACGCAGGAAUUUCCUUCUUCUAGGACAACACCCUCUCCUCAGUGCCAUUCCCAUACUUUCUAGGCAGCAGACGCAAUCCUGCUUAUGACAGAAAAAACAGAGAUCCGAAGCGCAAUUCAUGGAUAAGUGGACAGGCCCUCAUGAAGUACUCCUCAUCGCUCAGACAUUUCUAACUCUCAUUCACCACAUCUGAGGAGGAAAGACACCACCAGAAGGUGAUUUGCCCUUCUCAUCCUGGGAACCCACAGUCCCUGGUUAGUGGACAACCCCUCUAUAAAUCUCACAUGUCUGUUCAGGAGACAACCCUAGAUGGAAUAUAUCAAGCUUUCAUGUGUUCAAUGAUUGUUCCUCUUGACCUUCUCUGUCCCUCCCUAAAACCAGGUCAGAGUCCUUUCCACCUGGUUACAAAUUGGGCUCUCUGUUUUUGAUCUCCAUCAUCAGGUGGAUGGUUGAGACUGUGGAGAGCUCCCUCUGCUGGACACUGACUAACGAAUUUGGAAAAUUCAGGCAGCCAAUCAAAGUACAUGGCAGCAGGUCCCUAACUGGCUCAGAUCAAGGGGGAUAGCUGCCAUGCUCAACCCAAAAUGCCUCCUUCCCCCUUCUAACCAGGAGAGUCCUGAGAUGUUCAAAAUCAAGGCUGAGAAGUAAAAACCUGUCUCUUCUAGAAAGAGAAGGAUUUGACACCACUCCAGACAAAAGCCAUGGAGUAGGUGAUGGAGCCAGAUGGCUACUGGCAGGAGAAGCUGAAUGGGUGAGAGAUCCACCUCAUGUACUGUGCACUACAUGCAUUUUGUGGAACUCCCCACCGAGUAGAUUGGGCUCCCCAAAAGUUGUAGAAUGCAACCAUCACGCCGAAGGAGACCAUGUGCCUUGGCCUAUAGAUACAUUCUUGGGAAAUGAAGAAUCUCCUUUUCUGGCCUACUCAGAAUGUUUCUUGAGUUGAAGGGAUGCUGACCCCUGAUCUAGUGCCCCAACUGGAAGUGUAAAGGGAAGACUCACACUUGCUGUAUGACCUGCCACCUGUCACACACUUCCUUGGUUUUGAAGGGUCUGCAUCAUCGGUCACAUCCACCAGGGGCCCCACUGCUCAUAUUUUUCCCUUUCCGAGGUGGCCUCUUCUUUUUGAUUCUUUGUGUAGUUUGUGAGUCUUGGGCCAAUCACCAUCAGGAACAUCUUCCACAGAGAGUGCAGGCAUGGCAUCAGAACACCUGGGCCAGGAAGAACAAGAAAAGAAAACUCACUUUUGUUUUGAACCUAGGGAAAAAUUAAUUCAAGGGUGUAACAUAUUCUUGAGGCAUUUGUGUCAUUCUUCUUUGACAAAGGAGGAGUGCUUCCUGAGUACAUCUUCCCACUUUCUGGAAUUGGGAUGGUAGUAGAGUGUUUUCUGUGUGAACAACAACAACAAAAAAAACUUAAUCCGAUGUUAGUGUUAAGGAAAUAUUGAGAGGUUUUCAAUAUGUGGACCAAUGCAUGUGGAGCUCUGUGGUCAUCAUCCCCAUGCUCACAGCCCUCCCAGGGAAGUCUAAACAGAAAAUUACUAUAGCUCUCAUCCCCCAGAGUAGAUGGAGGUCCAAGGGCCAACCACUGCUCCUGAAAUUGGGUCAUUGGAAAUUCAUACCAUCAGCUAAACUGAGAAGGGGCCUCUUCUGGAGACUGUAGCUGGGUAGGAAAGCUGACACCAUCACUGCUGAAUGGCUGGAGGUGCAGGGUGGUCCCACUGUAUAACUAAGAGUCCUCAUGGGAAGAACCAAUCUCCUGGAGCUCCUCACACCUCCACACAUCUCCCUCCAGUUAGCACACCAGCUGCUCAGGAGGAAGGUCAGACAAAGCUUCCCUCAUGUUUCCAGUGGGGAUAGAGGAAACUGAGGCAUUGGCUUCUAGGUCCACCUGGAUCCAUCCUCCUUUCAUGAAUACAACAUAUUCCCUAUGAUAAAACAUCUGAGCAGAGCCUAACCAGCCUGGGUUCCCUGGCAUGGGGGAAGGGAUGGCUCCAAAUGUAGUCCCAUCUGGCCUUUUAUUGGGGAGAAUGGAAAUAACUACCUCCAGUUUCCUCUGCACUUCCAGUCACAUCUGAAGAGGAGGAAUGAGAAGGACUUGAGAAAGUCACAGCCCAGGGUCUCAGGCUCAAUUACUGACUGGUCUCAGGAUUAAUGAAGGCUUCCUCCCUCCAUACCUCACCCUGCAACUCUAGGACCUCCAUAUACUAAUGGCAGUUUUCACAAGACGGAAUUGUAAGACUCAGACCUUAUGAAGAUAUCCUUAGGAAAACCAAAGUCACAAGCCCUUAAAAAAUACAGCUCAUCAUCACACCACAACUCUGAGCCAAUAAAAUAUAAACUAGAUCUAGAGGCCUACAAGCCUCUGUUCCUUUUCGCCAGUACAUCAUGUCCACAGCAGGACUAAAUGUGAAAAGUGCACUAACAAAAGGCAUCAUUUGAAGAGACAGAGGCAGCAGUAGAACCAUCCUGAAACAUGCAGUGAAGAGAGCCUUGGACAACUGAGAAAGAGAAACAAGUGUGGUUAAUAUGCUAGGGCUCUAAAGGACACAUAGGGCACAUGUGAUAUGAACAGAGAGAAUGUGCAGUGUGGAUAGAGCAAGCCUGGGAGCCGGGUUCUGAUUUGGCAGAAAUAUUGCAAUGGUAAGGCUAGGAUUUUAAAAUCACUAAGAUCAUAACCCACUUGAAUCAAAGUGUGGAAUAUGAUAUGUCAAGAAAUUUGCAAUGUUUUGAACAACCAACAAUAAAAAAAUAAAAAAAAUAAAUAAAUAAAUAAAAUCACUAACAUCAAUAUGUGCCUGGAUCCAAAGUGAAAGACAGCGUGCAAGAACUGAUGAGGGAUGGAAAGGGGACAGGGCAAACUCUAGUGAGAAUACAAACAUGAAGGUUAGUUGUUAAAAAUGUCCUCACAGGAGAGGGCCUUCCAUAUAUGUGCUUCUGCAUAGACUGGGCAGUGGCCAAGGAUUCAAAAGUGUCAUUUGAAGUGAACUGAACAAACUCUGAGAAUACAGAGAAGCAAUACAGAAACCUGCCAGAGCAGGUGAGCAAGGGAUUGCACUAAGUUUCCAAAAUCACUCCAGAAUUCUGCCCCUGAGAAUUACAGUGAAUGAGCUCCAAAACAUACAGAGCCUCCUAGCAGAAUUGAUCACCCAGAGGGAAGAACCAGUGAGCUCCAACACAGUUCACUUAAAUGCCAAAGAGAGCAGAAACAGAGGAAGAAAAUGAAGUAGGAAUAAAGAAAGUGUAGGAGACUUGGGGAAGCAACAUGAAGGGCCAUCUCUUAAGAUAAAUUGGUUGUCUUCUCAGCAAAUGUUAAAACUACACUGAAACUACCAGAGUAUAAGAACAGUAGUGAAUAAACUGGCCAUAUUUCAAUGUGGAAAACAAAGUAGAAAAUCUUCAUGAUCAUUAGAACCCUAUGCAUGUUACAUUAGCAAAAUCAUUGACCCAAAACAUGCAUGCUAAAGAAUUUCUACAACACAGUUCUCUUACUCUUCAAUAAUCUGCUCGUGUCCAUCAGAAAGAUGCUGCAUCCUUAAUGACUUCUUGCCACAGUCCCUUCAAUGACUAUCAGUGAACUGAAGGACAAAAUACAUGAAAAAAAUGAGCCUGAUCUCAAAGUCCAUUAAGCAACUGAUGAGCAGUAAGGACAGCCUCCUGGACCCACCUCUGCCAAUCAUGGCUAAAAAGCCUCCUGUAAAAAGGAGAAACAGACUACAACAACAUUCAGAAGAGUGGUGACGUGUUGCACAAUGGAAUACAUAAGCUGGCUUUCUAAAUAACUGUCCUUGCUCCUCAGUCACCACAGAAUACACUAAGAGGAUUAUUCUGCACCUAUUUUAUAAAUUCCAUGUGGGAAAAAUAAUACUACUACCAAAAGUGGGGGUGCGGGGAAUGCAGUGCCAAGGAGCAGGUCUUGGUUGGGUCAUCACCUCUAGGAUUCCAGCUCUCCUUUAGCUUGACUUCCAUCUCUUCACAUUUCUACCAGGACACUUAACUUACUGAGAGCCAUGUUGCCUGGCCCAGAAGGCUGAUCCUUGUAAAGACAAGUGUUGGAGUUCCGUCUAGGGCUUCCUCCUAGUUCAUCAUACAAAUACCUUGUGGCAAUUCUUCUAUUUUAAAGGGUAGGCUGAUUGACAAGCCCACCUCACCAAACAAACAAAGAAAAAAACAAUGAAACCAACAAACAAAAAACAGUGGUUUCAUGUGAAAUGUGAUAUGGAACAGUUUUUGAGAGCUGUUCCAUUCCCUUAAUGACUGGUUGUCUCAAUUGUUGGGGGUGUGGAUCAAAAUGAGAUUUCCUGGAAAUCUUUAUCAUUUCCCCAGAUUUUUACUGCUGCAGUAUGUCUUAGCUCCCCCUACCUCCAACCGCUACCCCUUGGUCCCUUUUCUCCACUCAUCUUUCCCACAUUUCUUUUCCUUUUUAUUCUUUUUUUUUUUUUUUGCAUAUCAGAGGAAGCAUACAUCCCAUAUUUGUGCAUCUAAGUUAUUUGUGGAUGUUGGUGUGUAGGUUUUUUUCUAGAUGUGUCCUCAUCUGGCUUUGGUAUGUGUGCAAUGCUGGCUUUAUAAAUUUGGAACGUGUUCAUCCCUUUGUAUUUCAUGGAGUAAUUUGAGGUGUUUUGGCAUCAGUUCUCCUUUAAAGGUUUUUGGUACACCUCAGCUGGGAGUCCAUCCAGCCCUGGGUUUUUCUUUGCUAGAGACAAUAAUUAAAAGCCUUCCAUCUCAUUACAACUCAUUGGUCUGUUUGGGUUUUCUUUUGCUCUUGAUUCAGUUUUGGUAGAUCCUAUUUAUCUAGAUAUGUAUUCAUUUAUUCUAGGUUUUCCAAUGUAUUGGCGUACCAGUUUCAAAGUAGUCUCUAAUGAUCUGCUGGAUUUCUGUGGUAUCUAUGGUGAUUUCACCUUUUUAAUCUCUAAUUUUAUAAACUUGGAUUUUCUCUCCUUUUCUCUUGGUUAUGUUAGCAUUAUCCAUCUUGUUUACAUUUUCAAAGAAACACUGUUUCAUUGGUCCUUAAUGUUGUUAUUUUUUAUUCCCAAGUGCAUUAAUGUUGGCUCUGAUCUUAUUUCCUUCCUUCCUUCAGUGUUUGCUCCUCCACCAUAGCCUGGCUUUUACACCAUUUCCCAUUUACAAGGUGCAUGAUGGGGGCUUCCUCAGUAGAGGGUGCUGAAGUGACACUGCAGGAAGCAGAGGCCUCUUGUGGUUAAGCUACUGCACCAUUGCUCUGUGAUGCUGGUAUGAGUCCAUGUGAGGGCAGCCUGGAUCAGGUGAGGGGAUUCUCAGAUCCUGAGGAAGGCUUUGGUCUCCAGGAAAAUUUUCCAACCCUUUCCAAGCUGAUCUUAGGUGAUGGUGCCCUCCUAGUGAAUGGUCCAACUGUAGUGGGAGGUACUGACUCUGAGUUCAGAACUUGGCAGUCCCUGGCUCUACCCAUGCCCACCUGAGUGGUAACACAACAACCACACUGCCUUUACCGGCGCAUAUUCCCAAGGGUCCCCCAUGCCUUUCUGUUCAGAGGAAGCUGUGAGAGCCAUGGAAGCUGCUCCCACAGGGGUGAAGACCUGGCACAAGGCAGAAGAUGCUGCAGACUACUGAAGAUGCUGCAGACCUUGAAGAAAAAGUCUAGGGAGAAGAUGACCAAGAUUCAUCAAUGGAUGUGUCCUGUCUACUGGAAACCUUCACAGCACUCAUCCUCCAGGAGCCAAGGAAUGGCCUGGUUCCUGUCCUGCAAAGGGGAACACCUCCUAUGGCCAUGAAUUUUUAUAUUCCUACCCAAAUCUGGUUAAUCCUCAGAAGGUGCUGGAGCUGCUGUGUAGUAAAAGGUCCAGCACCACCCCAAGUGAUGUAAUUGCCUCCAGUAGCCAUGGCCUAAUUUACCUGCUUAUAUUUUUGGAGCAUAUUAUCACAUUCCCUGUGAAGGAGGAGGAAUAGCCCUGAAAACCGAAGUUGGCCCUACACCAGCACUGAACACACAGGAAGAUAUGGAGCCAUGAGUGGCCUCUGUAAACAUUCAGGAAGAGGAGACAGCUUAGCUGCCACUAAGCAAAUCAUGGCUCACCAUCCUCUUAUUCUCCAAGACACACUAUUGAAGUAGAACCAUUAAUAAAUCAGUAAUGGUUUGUACUAUUUAAAUAAAAGGAAGAGUCUUAUGCUUUGCACUUCACAUAAAAAGCUGUGCAUCUUGCACUACUUUGUCACACUGAGAAUGCAAAGGAAAUGUUCAUGAAGGAAAUUAAAGGGCUGCUCCAGGGCAUAUGUAAAUGACAAAAAGGAAAUAACAGCAUUAUUUCUCAUUCGGAAAAAAACUUUUCAUAGUGUGGAGAAAAGAAGAAACGACCCACGUUCCAUUCAGCCAAAGCCAAAUCCAGAUAAGGCCAUCACGUUACAUUGUUCUACUGACAAGAGAAUUGAGAAAGCUGCAGAAGAAGUUUGAAGUUGCCAGAGUUUGUUUGAUGAUGUUCUUGGCAAGAGGCUCCUCUCCAUAAAAUAAAAGUGCAAGGCAAAGAAGCAAGUACUGAUGCAGAAGCUCUUGCAAGUCAUCAAGGAGGUCUUGCUAACCUAUUUGAUGAAGAUGUUUUGUGGGUUAGGUAGUAGGUGUCCCCAGAAGCUCACAGGUGAGCCAAUGCAAGGUUUAUCAAUGAGAUGAUUCAGUUUUGAGAUCAGUGAGUUAAUCCCUUGACAGAAAUAAACAGGCAGCAGGCAUGGAAGGGCAUGUGAUGGACCCUUCCCAAGCCUAGGGGUGCAGGUGGCACCUGUGGAAGUGUCCAGUGGGUCUGAAAUAAGUCUGGUAUCCAGAACUGGAGCCUACAGAGGCCAGCCUUAGCAUUCCACAGCAGGGUUCCACAUUGGAGUUUCCCAGUGACCCGGAGCAGUGCAGGAUUCUGUAGCAGGAGCAUCCAUCUGUGAGGAGGAUGUCAAACAGGAGUCCCAUGGCAGUUUGGGGAGUCCAGAUGUAUCAGUGGCAGGAUGGGGACUUGGCCUCAGGCUUGGAGGACAGCCACAAGCAGGAACCAGGACAGUGAAGCCUUGGUGUUGGGCCUCUGUGGAAUGUCAGUUUCUGGAGUUCAGUUAUGGCAGCGGUGGCAAAGGCAACUGAGGAGUCUGGAGGUGGCGGCAGCAAGCCAGGCAUCCAGACAGGAGCAUCCUCAUCCUCUGGUGGUGGUGGGAGUCUGUUCCCAAUGCAGUGGUGGUGGCUGCAGCAUUACUGGUGGCUAUGUGGGGACUCCAGUGGAGCUCUGGUAGCGGUGAUGGUGACAGCAUGGGACAGUGGGCCUCAGAGUCAGAGGGCAACUGGAGGCUGUGAUGGUCUCUGCAGUGGCUCCUGCAGGUGACUGGUCUUGCUUCUAGUAGAACCUGCCUGCUCAGGAAGCAGGACAUAGGAGCUGGUGGUACCCAGACAGCUGCUGAGGUCCUUAUACUGACCAGGCCAGCCAUGCCUGGCAUUGGCCUUGAGUCCACCAGGCAGCUGCUCGCCUGAUCCUUGAGUCCCUCCCAGGGUUGUAGCCUCUAAGGGGUGAGUAGGCCAUCUUCCAGCUGGGGAAGCCUUUGGAGAGGACACCCACCCUCCCCAGGCACAUCUCCCCUGGGCUGUGGCAGCAGAGUGCAGAGGUGGGAGGUGGGGGGGGCCUAGAAAAUCCUCACCCUCCAAGGGCAUCCUGGGGCAGGACAAGAGUGGAGGGCACAGGUGGCAGAGGGAGCCUAAGGGUGCAGACCCUCUGUCUUGGUCUUCUGCUGCCCUUAGCCACAGAAAUGUGCUUUGGGGGUGAAGAUGUCCUAGGACCUCUGAUCUCUGUCCCCACAGUCCAUGCAGGAUGUGGCUGGGGACAGUGGGGUUCUCUCCUAAGGCCACCUCAAUCUGGCAGACAGCCUAGUUCCUCAGUAGAAGCUGUACCAGGGCAUGAGGUGAAGAGGCACCAAGUGGGCUCAUGGCCAGAGCGAGGCAUGGCAGCUGAGGGCAGAUAAGUUCCUGGAUUGCUGCCUGGGUACUGUGGUCUCCCAUAUGCUUCUUCCUGAGCAGGCCAAGUCCACCAGGAGAAAGACCAGGGCCUGGAGCUUCCAGAGGCCAUCUUAGCUACUGGUCACCUUCUCACUCUGAUGCCCACUAUCCCAUGCCCUCACGACCACUGCCAGCCUGGAGCUCUUUGCUGUAGCCACCCAGAUUCCCCACAUGGCCACUGGAUGCCACAUUCACCACCCUGCAGCCGGACCCCAAUUACUGCUGCAGGAAUGAGAUGCUCACUGCUGGACACUGCCUGUUGUUGCUGCCCCUGCUUCUGGGCUCUUCUGGUGCCACCACCAUCAUGCAGCAAUUGAACUUUCAAACUCCAGCUGGAUUCUGAUGCUGCCCACCAAGGACCCAACGUCACUGCACUUCACCCCAAGCCUGAUAUCCGACCCCUAUACUGAGGACCCCUGAUGCAGGUGCAUGUUGCUCUCACCCCUGCCAGACUUUGAAGCUCCACCCUGCUGUCACCAGACUUUAACAUGGACACCAGACAGUGAUGCUCAGUACUGGAUGCCAACUUUAUUGCAACUGCAGCCAGACUCUUGUCACUAUGGCAGGAUGACAACCCUCAGGACUGGAUGCCUCUGUUGUCACAACCACUCUUUCUGGAUCCUUCCACAGUCACCGCCAGCAUGAGUAGGAAGCAAGCUUUCUCUCCUUAAUUUGCACCCUUUAAGCUGAGCAUCAGGAAGAAGGAAACACCUGACAAGCUCAAGGAUCAGAAGGACACCAACCCUUCUCAAGUCACUCUGGAAGAUGACUAGCCUGCAUGUGCCCAAAGCUAGAGGAAACAUCAGCCCUGCUUCAGCCACUGUGGGCUGGAUGAUCCACACAAGGUGUAAGAUAAACUCACCAACAGGAAAAUGGACUGUUUCUCCCUCUAAGACAGCUCUUAUACUCUCAUUGCCACCACUUACCUCUUUCAUAUACACAGUCCUUUCUUUUGUCUUGACUCUAGGACUGAUAACAAUCAAACACAUAGUUAACACUAUCAGAAAACUACCACAUGUACCAGUUCAAACCUGAAAGGGUAUUACGGUUGGCAUCCAAGCUCACUAGUUGGUGGAUGGUUUCCUGUUCUUGAUGGAUUCAAAUCUUAAUUGACAUAGCAGGGAUUAUGCUAUGAACUUGUUCAUUGCUUCCAUGUUUGCUUCCUCUUUACAUUACAACUAGUGGGUCUACUAUAGAAGCAGCUGUUAAAAAAAAUAUGA